This 383-nucleotide long non-coding RNA is filed under the name Brassica rapa (field mustard). RNAcentral describes it as "long non-coding RNA (BRAP_LNC000252)". Lineage: Eukaryota; Viridiplantae; Streptophyta; Magnoliopsida; Brassicales; Brassicaceae. The record is from RNAcentral.
CCAAUUUGUGCGAGUAAUUGACCUCAUCGUUUCGUCCUUUUGGUGAGUAACGAAUCCGUCUACGUUUCUGGGGUUUUUGUUUGUUUGCAGUGAUGCUUGGGGUGAGAUAUGAUCCUCUCCAUCUCUGGUGAUUACUACUGGUUUCUAUAUAAUCCUUAAACAAGAAUGUUACCCGUGAGAGAAGGUCUUCAGAAACAGGUUAAGAUUCUGAUUGGAUUAGGGUUUGGGGGUUACCGGGGUUUCCACUCUAGAUUCGCUAGCCCUAACGGCUUUCUCGAGCCCGCGAGCUCCGAUUUGCUUCUGAGCAACGAAAGGAGGAACCUUUCUGUCCUCGGCGCUCUCUCUCGAACUUUCUCCGUUCCUUCUGUCUCCGGUCCGGCGUU